UGGCUCAAGUGGUAGAGCACCUGCUUAGCAAGCAUGAGACCCUGAGUUCAAAUCUUAG
Molecule: transfer RNA, 58 nt
Filed under: Dipodomys ordii (Ord's kangaroo rat)
Lineage: Eukaryota; Metazoa; Chordata; Mammalia; Rodentia; Heteromyidae
Rfam family: tRNA
About the family: Transfer RNA (tRNA) molecules are approximately 80 nucleotides in length. Their secondary structure includes four short double-helical elements and three loops (D, anti-codon, and T loops).
Source: Rfam by way of RNAcentral